GGGGCGCUACGACCACCACGACGGGACCUGCAGACUCAAGUACCUGAAUUGUCACCCCUUUCUGCGCCUCCAGUAGUGUACACUACAUAUCGCACACGGCACAACCUAAGCCCACGAGUUCUGAGGCCCCGGGCCAGCCAACCUAGAGCCCGAUGACGAAAGGCAAGUCUCAACAGGGUCGACAGAAACGCCUAUGCAUGCCUUGUUGUCAUUGGCAAACGGCAAGGCGGACGACAUGAUAUCUUCACCGAAAAAGGGGCCAUCAACCACCUCACGAAAAGGCGUUUUCAGCGAUAAAAGACCUGCCUCGAAUCGCUAGAGGUAGUCGAACAGCUCAGCAUCGGCAUCAACUGUAACUUCCAAUGGGUUUCAUUGCAUUGGAGCCCAGGAAUCAGCACGUGAAUAACGCCCUAUGUAACAGGACGGGACCACCUUUCACACUUCUCCCCGAGUCGUCGCUACAAUGCCAGGCACCAGCAAAUCGUCUGAAAUACAGAUUCAGACCGAGGCAAAAAUUCCAUGCGCCACGUUUCUAGCCGGGCUGGCAUGAUCAUGUUGUCCGGAUUUUGAGCAUGGAGAUGGAAAAGGCAUGAUUGUGGCUUGAGCUAUCAAAGCCUCUGGUGUUGCCCAUUGAUUGACUGGCUUGGAAUCCCACGGCGUGGCACAAAUAUUCCGAGCAGGUGGUUGGUCCAACGGCUUGGCUGCAAGGAUUCAUCACAGAGGAGGAUCGACGCUGAGCAAUCAAAAGAGAUCAAAUCGUUCGGCGCAAAACGCGGUCGUCGCAGAUACACCGAGCCAAGCCAUCUUUCCCUAUCAAGCCCUGUGUAACCAGAGCACCCCAGGUUCGCUCGAGGCAGGAAACGAACCCCUUGCUGACACCCUUCCUCAGCAGCGUCAUGGGUUCAGCAGCCUGUCGAACAGCCAACCGACAAGUGCCAACGGGGACCAAUCCCCCUUUUCGGAUUAGCAGCUUCAUGAGUUAGCCCCCUGCCUUACCGGACCGUUGCACAGGAGAUGGCUCGUUACACAAACGUUCGGUUAUCAAGCUCUCGAAGGCUUGGGAAGGUCGUGAUAUCCCCAGUCCUUGAACCCUAACCCUAGACUUGGAUAAAUUAACUUGCCCUACCCAUGUCUGCAACAUACCAAGUCGCUUCAGAGGCGCCAGCAAAUCUUAGUUGUUGAAAUCGAUGAGGAUAUCAGGCAGCUUGGAUUCGAGGCAGGAAAGGAUCUCGUAAGGCUCGAGAUUUCCUAAUGAAGCUGGCCGAAAUCACCAAACGGGUCCUCGUGGAACAGGCAAGGUGACGCGAAUCACUGAUGCGCCCAGUGGCGUCUGUUGUACACUUGGGAGGAACGCGGCCUCCCGAGCCAGAAAAGAUGAAAGAUGUUUGGUGUAGGUAUAACGAGACUUCAUGGGUCAUGUGUCUGUCAUUCAGGGCCGCUCGCUGUUCACGAAAUUCGUGCAUCCCGGCGGCAGAUGUCUUGCUUUAAUGUG
Molecule: non-coding RNA, 1492 nt
Organism: Neurospora crassa OR74A
Lineage: Eukaryota; Fungi; Ascomycota; Sordariomycetes; Sordariales; Sordariaceae
Source: RefSeq, a predicted model, not a curated record